This 228-nucleotide long non-coding RNA is filed under the name Felis catus (domestic cat). RNAcentral's name for it is "lncRNA (ENSFCAG00000047794.1)". The record is from RNAcentral. Lineage: Eukaryota; Metazoa; Chordata; Mammalia; Carnivora; Felidae.
GUUGGACACUUAAUUGAGCCACCCAGAUGCCCCAAGACCAACUCAUCUUUAGUUCAACUCUAGGUUUACCUUAGUGGGACUUGAGAGAAGAUCCACUGCUGUUCCCUUCAGAGCCCUCCAGUAGCUCAUCUGUUUCAAAGGACUCUAUUUCUCAUAUCUUCAGGAAGAGUCAACCUGUCUGCAGUUAAUGUUUACAGAUGCAAAGAUAUCGAAACACCAUUUGAAUAA